ACUUACAUCUCUUCGGAGCAUUUUACGUAGGUGCUGCAUGGUUGUCGUCAGCUCGUGCCGUGAGGUGUCGGUUAAGUCCCAUAACGAGCGCAACCCCUACCUUACGUUGCCAUCAGGUAAUGCUGGGGACGUCUAAAGGAACUGCCUACGCAAGUAGUGAGGAAGGCGGGGAUGACGUCAAAUCAGCACGGCCCUUACGUCCAGGGCUACACACGUGCUACAAUGGCCGAUACAGAGGGCAGCUACCUGGUGACAGGAUGCAAAUCUCCAAAGUCGGUCUCAGUUCGGAUCGGAGUCUGCAACCCGACUCCGUGAAGUUGGAUUCGCUAGUAAUCGCGCAUCAGCCAUGGCGCGGUGAAUACGUUCCCGGGCCUU
RNAcentral lists this ribosomal RNA (375 nucleotides) under uncultured Sphingobacteriales bacterium. RNAcentral describes it as "bacterial SSU rRNA". It matches the Rfam family "Bacterial small subunit ribosomal RNA", at positions 1008 to 1382 of the family's 1533-position model. The record is from RNAcentral. Lineage: Bacteria; Pseudomonadati; Bacteroidota; Sphingobacteriia; Sphingobacteriales.